Molecule: long non-coding RNA, 293 nt
Filed under: Anas platyrhynchos platyrhynchos (common mallard)
Lineage: Eukaryota; Metazoa; Chordata; Aves; Anseriformes; Anatidae
Description: lncRNA (ENSAPLG00000022563.1)
Source: RNAcentral
AAAAAAAAGGAGAAGAAAGAGGUACAUUCAAGGCCUCUGUCCUCAGGGGCAGAAUAUAAAUGAAAGACACAUUUAAAAUAAUGGGGGUGGGGUGGAGAGAUGAGUCAUGAGUCACACCACAGGAAAACCUCCACAUUUCAGAGGCCGUUCCAGAAUGAAGAUGUUCAAGCAAUGCUGCAAUGAAGAUUAUGUAGGAUCCCUAACUCACCAACUGAAGCAUAUUGAGAACUGAUUAUUACUUCCCGGGUUUGCUGUCCUGCAGGUCCAGACAACUCUUACUGGCAUACUGAGUU